GCCAACAAACCAGAACAAAACAAAUCAUACCUGAAGGCCUGAGUCAGGAGAGCUAUCACAAACUAAGGAUCACCAAACUUGGAAUAACGAAAUUUGGGGGCCUCAUUCUACAUCCUCGCCAGAUGAGAUUUCUACUUCACUCUUACUUCUGAGGAAGUCUCUGGACCAACUGAGUUACAAUGUGCAUCAUGAUUUAUAAAAUGAAAAGUCCCUCUCUGCUACAUUUUACGAACAUUUCUAUUUUGAGAGGUCAAGAGAGACCAGACCUAAGAACACUGUAAAUCUGGAACAAUAGGAGGGAAAACUGAUGGUAUCAGAUGACUUUGCCCCUCUGUCAGGAACAGUCCAAGAGGUAGGCAACAGAUGACAGCUUAUAUCCUGGGAAGGGAAUCUCUUGCAUAAGGUCAAGCUUGGGAACACAGCG
RNAcentral lists this long non-coding RNA (424 nucleotides) under Homo sapiens (human). RNAcentral describes it as "HSALNT0031672". The record is from RNAcentral. Lineage: Eukaryota; Metazoa; Chordata; Mammalia; Primates; Hominidae.